Molecule: transfer RNA, 73 nt
Organism: Cathartes aura (turkey vulture)
Lineage: Eukaryota; Metazoa; Chordata; Aves; Accipitriformes; Cathartidae
Rfam family: tRNA
About the family: Transfer RNA (tRNA) molecules are approximately 80 nucleotides in length. Their secondary structure includes four short double-helical elements and three loops (D, anti-codon, and T loops).
Source: Rfam
GCCUGGCUAACUCAGUCGGUCUAGCAUGGGACUCUUAAUCCCACCGUUAUGGGUUUGAGCCCCAUGCUGGGCA